GACGAACGCUGGCGGCGUGCCUAAUACAUGCAAGUCGAGCGAGCUUGCCUAGAUGAAUUUGGUGCUUGCACCAAAUGAAACUAGAUACAAGCGAGCGGCGGACGGGUGAGUAACACGUGGGUAACCUGCCCAAGAGACUGGGAUAACACCUGGAAACAGAUGCUAAUACCGGAUAACAACACUAGACGCAUGUCUAGAGUUUAAAAGAUGGUUCUGCUAUCACUCUUGGAUGGACCUGCGGUGCAUUAGCUAGUUGGUAAGGUAACGGCUUACCAAGGCAAUGAUGCAUAGCCGAGUUGAGAGACUGAUCGGCCACAUUGGGACUGAGACACGGCCCAAACUCCUACGGGAGGCAGCAGUAGGGAAUCUUCCACAAUGGACGCAAGUCUGAUGGAGCAACGCCGCGUGAGUGAAGAAGGGUUUCGGCUCGUAAGGCUCUGUUGGUAGUGAAGAAAGGUAGAGGUAGUAACUGGCCUUUAUUUGUCGGAAUACUAGAAA
This 498-nucleotide ribosomal RNA is filed under the name Lactobacillus gasseri. RNAcentral's name for it is "bacterial SSU rRNA". It matches the Rfam family "Bacterial small subunit ribosomal RNA", at positions 28 to 488 of the family's 1533-position model. Lineage: Bacteria; Bacillati; Bacillota; Bacilli; Lactobacillales; Lactobacillaceae. The record is from RNAcentral.